RNAcentral lists this long non-coding RNA (1679 nucleotides) under Citrus sinensis (sweet orange). Its description in RNAcentral is "long non-coding RNA (CSIN_LNC003661)". Lineage: Eukaryota; Viridiplantae; Streptophyta; Magnoliopsida; Sapindales; Rutaceae. The record is from RNAcentral.
ACCAAGUAAAAUAUAUUCCAGUCAAUAGCUUGAAUUUUGUAACUUGUACCAAUAGGCACGGUACCUAUCAGAUCAUAAGACAGACGGGAAAAUUUGAUGAGAAGAAUACAAUUUAAAAACAAAACUUGAUCACCCUUCAAUGCGAAAGGUAGGUACUUGUACAACUGAAAAAACUAGUUCUAAUCUACACUCAACUAAUUUACAUAUGCGGCUAUUGCUCUUACAGCAGCCCCUAGAGAUGGGGAGGGCGGCCAUGUUUGGUCUUGUGUCGGCUGGGUCUGGCUGUGGGUCUCCCCCGCCCUCCCACUACAACUAAUUAUAAAAUGAUCUCUUGAUUUUUGUUUUUUUUUUUUACCUCCUCUUUUUUCUCUUUUAGUGCUACUGCCCUACUGCACAUGUAGAGUACGUUUGAAAUUUAGGAGCUGCCAAAAUGUCUGGAACUCGAUGAUGUAGCCACAAAAUUUUUUAUCAAGAAUUUGAUUUCGAUUUACUUCAAUGUUUUGGAAUGCGAGAAACCAACCCUCUCCAUUCCAUACCAGGGGAUAGCAGUUUUCUCUUUAUAAAAUUGAGUAGAAUUCGCCUUAAUUCGACGCAAAUUUAGGUCAGUAAACUCAUUUCUCCACAUUUAGCUCGAUGAACUCGAGAGUCCAGACUAUGCUAUCACUGUACCGAAUUAGACUACAACACUCUUUGACUAAAUUUGUCAGUACUCAAAAACAAAACAAAUAGCAGUGGACGGAAUGGGAUGCCUAGCCUCUAAGUCACUUGGAUGUGCUAACCCAAUUUCAUGCAUAAACUUUUACAACAAUGAUUCUAUAGUAAUCUGAUUGCAAGACAAGGAGCCGAAUCCCUAUGCAACACCUAACCCCUACUAAUUUGGAAAAGUAAGUUUCUUAAUGUAGGCGUGGCUGGUUCAUCAAGCAAAAAUGCAUCAACAUCCACUUGGUUGCCAUCAUAAUAACACCACUUUCGGAGAACACAGUUUUUUUAAUUAAACCUAAUAUGUAUAGCUUGCACAUGAGCAGCAAUAUUUUGUAGGGCCAUUUCCGUUCCUAUUACAUUCAUAAAGCUCCCAGGAAUCAAUUAAUGGAACUAACGAAGCUUCUUGGCAAUAAGUAAAAGUACCUGUCUUCUUAAUAAAUAAAGAAGCAGCUAUCAUAAGGAAUAACUCCACUUAAAAAGCUUACCUAAGGUGCAAAAACCUGGCUUGCUGAGAAAAAAAGCAUGCUCUGUAAAUUACAAAACAUAGCAUCUCGAGAUUCUAAGAAAAAAGUAACAAUUAUCCCUCAUAUUCUGUAAGUAACCUUUUGAAACUCUAACCAGCUAGGGACACCAUCCACCCUGUCAAGCACCAUGUUUCUAUUUUUCAGAAAAGAAAGACACACCAAGUAAAAUAUAUUCCAGUCAAUAGCUUGAAUUUUGUAACUUGUACCAAUAGGCACGGUACCUAUCAGAUCAUAAGACAGACGGGAAAAUUUGAUGAGAAGAAUACAAUUUAAAAACAAAACUUGAUCACCCUUCAAUGCGAAAGGUAGGUACUUGUACAACUGAAAAAACUAGUUCUAAUCUACACUCAACUAAUUUACAUAUGCCUCUAACAAAUUUAAAAUUUAGGAAAAGACUUUUACAUUUUUGUGAUCGUAUAUUUAAACUUACGAGCUUUUCUCUUAAAAGAUAAA